RNAcentral lists this ribosomal RNA (47 nucleotides) under Stichopathes sp. GB-2006. Its description in RNAcentral is "partial 28S ribosomal RNA". The record is from RNAcentral. Lineage: Eukaryota; Metazoa; Cnidaria; Anthozoa; Antipatharia; Antipathidae. RNAcentral also lists the same sequence under 1 other name.
GACCUCAGAUCAGGCAAGGCUACCCGCUGAAUUUAAGCAUAUUAAUA